GACGAACGCUGGCGGCGUGCCUAAUACAUGCGAGUCGAACGCACAGUUUAUACCGUAGCUUGCUACACCAUAAACUGUGAGUUGCGAACGGGUGAGUAACGCGUAGGUAACCUGCCUGGUAGCGGGGGAUAACUAUUGGAAACGAUAGCUAAUACCGCAUAAUAUUGAUUAUUGCAUGAUAAUUGAUUGAAAGAUGCUAUUGCAUCACUACCAGAUGGACCUGCGUUGUAUUAGCUAGUAGGUGAGGUAACGGCUCACCUAGGCGACGAUACAUAGCCGACCUGAGAGGGUGAUCGGCCACACUGGGACUGAGACACGGCCCAGACUCCUACGGGAGGCAGCAGUAGGGAAUCUUCGGCAAUGGACGAAAGUCUGACCGAGCAACGCCGCGUGAGUGAAGAAGGUUUUCGGAUCGUAAAGCUCUGUUGUAAGAGAAGAACGGGUGUGAGAGUGGAAAGUUCACACUGUGACGGUAUCUUACCAGAAAGGGACGGCUAACUACGUG
RNAcentral lists this ribosomal RNA (505 nucleotides) under uncultured bacterium. RNAcentral's name for it is "partial 16S ribosomal RNA". It matches the Rfam family "Bacterial small subunit ribosomal RNA", at positions 28 to 507 of the family's 1533-position model. The record is from RNAcentral.